CGGCCGCCUGGCCGCGGGAUAGAGUUUGAUCCUGGCUGAAACAGGUGCUGCAUGGCUGUCGUCAGCUCGUGUCGUGAGAUGUUGGGUUAAGUCCCGCAACGAGCGCAACCCUCGCCUUUAGUUGCCAUCAUUUAGUUGGGCACUCUAGAGGGACUGCCGGUGAUAAGCCGGAGGAAGGUGGGGAUGACGUCAAGUCCUCAUGGCCCUUACGGGUAGGGCUACACACGUGCUACAAUGGUGGUGACAGUGGGCAGCGACACAGUGAUGUGAUGCUAAUCUCAAAAAGCCAUCUCAGUUCAGAUUGUACUCUGCAACUCGAGUACAUGAAGUUGGAAUCGCUAGUAAUCGUAGAACAGCAUGCUACGGUGAAUACGUUCCCGGGCCUUGUACACACCGCCCGUCACACCAUGGGAGUUGGUUUUACCUGAAGACGGUGUUCUAACCCGCAAGGGAGGAAGCCGGCCACGGUAAGGUCAGCGACUGGGGUGAAGUCGUAACAAGGUACC
RNAcentral lists this ribosomal RNA (506 nucleotides) under uncultured Alphaproteobacteria bacterium. Its description in RNAcentral is "bacterial SSU rRNA". It matches the Rfam family "Bacterial small subunit ribosomal RNA", at positions 998 to 1500 of the family's 1533-position model. Lineage: Bacteria; Pseudomonadati; Pseudomonadota; Alphaproteobacteria. The record is from RNAcentral.